AGAGUUUGAUCAUGGCUCAGAACGUACGCUGGCGGCACGCCUAACACAUGCAAGUCGAACGAAGUAGCAAUACUUAGUGGCAGACGGGUGAGUAACAUGUGGGUAUCUACCCUUUGGCCUGGAAUAACACGAGGAAACUUGUGCUAAUACCGGAUAAGUCUUUACGGAGAAAGCUUUAUGCACCAUUGGAUGAGCCCGCACUUGAUUAGUUUGUUGGUAGGGUAAUGGCCUACCAAGACUAUGAUCAAUAGCUGAUUUGAGAGGAUGAUCAGCCACAUUGGGACUGAGACACGGCCCAAACUCCUACGGGAGGCAGCAGUGGGGAAUCUUGCACAAUGGAGGAAACUCUGAUGCAGCGAUGCCGCGUGAGUGAAGAAGGCCUUUGGGUUGUAAAGCUCUUUCGUCGGGGAAGAAAAUGACUGUACCCGAAUAAGAAGGUCCGGCUAACUUCGUGCCAGCAGCCGCGGUAAUACGAAGGGACCUAGCGUAGUUCGGAAUUACUGGGCUUAAAGAGUUCGUAGGUGGUUGAAAAAGUUGGUGGUGAAAUCCCAGAGCUUAACUCUGGAACUGCCAUCAAAACUUUUCAGCUAGAGUAUGAUAGAGGAAAGCAGAAUUUCUAGUGUAGAGGUGAAAUUCGUAGAUAUUAGAAAGAAUACCAAUUGCGAAGGCAGCUUUCUGGAUCAUUACUGACACUGAGGAACGAAAGCAUGGGUAGCGAAGAGGAUUAGAUACCCUCGUAGUCCAUGCCGUAAACGAUGUGUGUUAGACGUGGAAAUU
RNAcentral lists this ribosomal RNA (777 nucleotides) under marine metagenome. RNAcentral describes it as "bacterial SSU rRNA". It matches the Rfam family "Bacterial small subunit ribosomal RNA", at positions 8 to 830 of the family's 1533-position model. The record is from RNAcentral.